CCUAGACUAGGACUGUGCUGGGCAUGUUAGAGUAUGAUGUAGCUGCAAGAGAGUGAACAAAGGGCAAAGGAGGUCAGAGAGGUAGAGAAGGCCUAGAUCAUGUAGAACUUAUCGUUUUUUCACUGACCCGGUGAGGUGGGGGUGGGGGGCAAGCCCCAAGGGGCUCUUGCAUCUGGCGCCAAACACCUGGCUGCACGCCACACAGGCACAACCCGCUCCAGGGACAGUGCCAGGUGGAGAGUUUAACUGGGGCAGUACACUGUCAAACAGUAACGCAAGUGUCCUAAGGUGAGCUCAGGGAGCACAGAAACCUCCAGUGGAAUAGAAGGGCAAAAGCUCAUUUGAUCCUGAUUUUCAGUAUGAAUACAGACCGUGAAAACAGGGCUUCACAAUCCUUCAGACCUUUUGGGUUUUAAGCAGGUGUCAGAAAAGUUACCAUAGG
Gorilla gorilla gorilla (western lowland gorilla) is the source of this 442-nucleotide ribosomal RNA. It matches the Rfam family "Eukaryotic large subunit ribosomal RNA", at positions 2412 to 2824 of the family's 3401-position model. The record is from Rfam. NCBI's taxonomy places the organism in Eukaryota, Metazoa, Chordata, Mammalia, Primates, Hominidae.